AGUAAAAGUCGUAACAAGGUUUCCGUAGGUGAACCUGCGGAAGGAUCAUUACUGAAUUGUCAAACGGGUUGUUGCUGGCCCUCAUAGGGGGCAUGUGCACGCUCUGUUUACACAUCCACUCACACCUGUGCACCCUCUGUAGUUCUAUGGUCUGGGGGACCCUGUCUUCCUUCUGUGGUUCUACGUCUUUACACACACACUGUAAUAAAGUUUUAUGGAAUGUACAUCGCGUCUAACGCAAUACAAUACAACUUUCAGCAACGGAUCUCUUGGCUCUCGCAUCGAUGAAGAACGCAGCGAAAUGCGAUAAGUAAUGUGAAUUGCAGAAUUCAGUGAAUCAUCGAAUCUUUGAACGCACCUUGCGCCCCUUGGCUAUUCCGAGGGGCAUGCCUGUUUGAGUAUCAUGAACACCUCAACUCUCAUGGUUUGCCAUGAUGAGUUGGACUCUGGGGGUUUUGCUGGCCUGUGGUCGGCUCCUCUCAAAUUAAUCAGCCUCCCAGUGUUUGGUGGCAUCACGGGUGUGAUAAAUAUCUACGCUCGCUGUUGUCUGCCAGGUAACCUUUGGUCACAAAGGUUUGCUGGAGCUCACAGAUGUCUCUCCUCAGCGAGGACAGCUUUUUUAACGUUCGAUCGC
Molecule: ribosomal RNA, 634 nt
Filed under: uncultured Thelephora
Lineage: Eukaryota; Fungi; Basidiomycota; Agaricomycetes; Thelephorales; Thelephoraceae
Description: eukaryotic LSU rRNA
Rfam family: 5.8S ribosomal RNA (bases 250-404)
Source: RNAcentral